Molecule: long non-coding RNA, 1072 nt
Organism: Mercurialis annua (annual mercury)
Lineage: Eukaryota; Viridiplantae; Streptophyta; Magnoliopsida; Malpighiales; Euphorbiaceae
Exons: 3
Source: RefSeq, a predicted model, not a curated record
UUCACUUUCUUAAGACUUCAAGAAGCUACCAAAUUCUCACCAAAAAGCUUCUCUUUGCCGAACCCAUAACCCCACCACCAUCUCCAUCAAAUUCUCACCAAAGCUUGGAGUUUUUGGAAGCAAAAGACUCUAAAAUCAAAGGAGAUCAAGACUCGACGAGGCGACUAUUAAGGGGGCGCAAAACGUAAAGAACGCAACAGGGCUUUGCUAUGGCCGAAGUCUUUGGAUAGCAAUUUUGUUAUAUUUCAGGUGUAUAGUAUCGGAUGUAACGGACUUCUAUCCUUGUUCCAGAAGUCCGCGAGUACAGAAAGAAGGAAUAAAUCAAUAGUGCUGCAGUAGUCGAGUCCUAGAGUGUAAUUAUGUUUUAUCAAACGGUUUUAAAUAUCUUGUUUAUACUCUGAUAUGUAUAAAGGUUUUUGACUGCGCUUUUAACCAUUUUUAUAUAUAUAUAUAUAUAUAUAUAUAUAUAUAUAUGUGUGUGUGUGUGAGAAACAGGGCAUUGCUUGAUAUGGGAUAUCGCUUUGUAAGACCCUGAUUUCUAAAGAUCGUUUUGUAUCGUUUAAAGAAGUUUUAUAAAAACGUUUUGAGAAUGUUUCGCGAAAAAAUUUAUAGUGAUUUUUAGGCUUGCUACGGGUUUCGGAGCUACCACUCCCAUUCCCUAGCGCCGGUCGCGGCCCUCAAUUUUGGGUCGUGACAGUGUGGAUGACUAAAAUGACAUUGAUUUAGACGUUUAUUGCUAUAUAUGUCACAUAAUAAAAUAUUGUACUAUUAGGUAAGACGUUUUAUAGUUUAUGCUUAAAUAAAAAAAACACGAAAAUUUGUGCUAUAUGAUGUCAUUAACCCAAAAAUAUAUGAUAAAUAUUAAUACUUUUAAAACUUUGUUGUUAGUACAUUGAUAGAUUCUUGAGAAAAUAACAAGAAAACUCAUAAAAUGGACUUUGUUUUCGCAUUAUACCAUUUUCUCAAAAAGUUUACAUUUAAUGUCACAAUUAUUAGUUUUCUUUCACUAACACCAUCUGUUCCUUUUUUUUACAUCGUUUCCUUUUUCUUCAUUACCAUAUUUUCGUUGCAA